AACGAACGCUGGCGGCAGGCCUAACACAUGCAAGUCGAGCGCGCCCUUCGGGGUGAGCGGCGGACGGGUGAGUAACGCGUGGGAACGUGCCCUUUUCUACGGAAUAGCCUCGGGAAACUGAGAGUAAUACCGUAUACGCCCUUUGGGGGAAAGAUUUAUCGGAAAAGGAUCGGCCCGCGUUGGAUUAGGUAGUUGGUGGGGUAAUGGCCUACCAAGGCGACGAUCCAUAGCUGGUUUGAGAGGCUGAUCAGCCACACUGGGACUGAGACACGGCCCAGACUCCUACGGGAGGGAGCAGUGGGGAAUCUUAGCCAAUGGGGGCAACCCUGAUCUAGCCAUGCCGCGUGAGUGAUGAAGGCCUUAGGGUUGUAAAGCUCUUUCAGCUGGGAAGAUAAUGACGGUACCAGCAGAAGAAGCCCCGGCUAACUCCGUG
RNAcentral lists this ribosomal RNA (433 nucleotides) under uncultured bacterium. Its description in RNAcentral is "partial 16S ribosomal RNA". It matches the Rfam family "Bacterial small subunit ribosomal RNA", at positions 29 to 507 of the family's 1533-position model. The record is from RNAcentral.